CCCGUCAGCAGUGCACAGUACCUGCACACACACACUAUUAUAGGGGUGAGCUUUCAUCCUCGCUGCUCAGUAGGAGCUUUUCUCGACUAGAUUUGAAAAUCAAUAUUCAUGGGUACCCAGCAUAAAAACAAUUUAAAACCAAAUGCUUAAUGUAAACGACAUGAGUUAAAAAUCAAUGCACAUGUUUCAAUAAAAUUGGCGCCAAGUCCAAACAUCACCUGAUGGCCGGUCCUCAUCGACCCACUAUCCAACUUACCUCAUUUUUCUUGUGUACAACAGGUAAGUGUAGUGAGAGUGUCCAAUUACGCCCUAUCGCCUAGAAGUAGUGUCACUCCACAAGGGAUGUAAGACACUCUUCCGUCCAUAAAGGCCCCUCCGAAGGUUUAGGGGAUCGAAACCCAAGGAAGUCGCUAUGCCCCCCUCACUCUCAAGCCAUCAAUAAAUCUCACAGUUUGGUCAAUAACAAUCAUAAUAUAUAACCAAACCAAACAUGCAUCAUUUAUAUAAAACAUGGGAAAAGCUUUAAUCAAGAAAAAUCCUGAAUCCCCUACCUGGAUUUCAACGCUUUUCCUUCCGUGCUCCACGAGUCACAAACCUUUCAUUCCUUGGUCACUGGAAUCCCUUUAAUGUAGCUCAAUAUUGAAGCAAAAGCUUUGCGCCCUUCUCUGCCCAAACUUGCUGACGAAGAACUUGUAGCUCCUUACCCAAAAACCCAGCAACUCCCUUUAAAAUCCUUGUUUCAGACACAGCUGAGACCGAAACCAAACCUAGAAAUAAAGGAGGUCACCGACGGGGACGAAUUUCGUCAAGGGCAAAGAAACAGCCCAGAAAUCCCAAAAACUAAAGUCAAUAAACUUCAAUCUAAACUGAAAAAUAAUUACCCUAGAAUGAUGAGGACGACGAGAGAAAGGAAACCAUACCAAGAGAAGUCGGGUUCGCAGCCUGAAAACCCAGAAUUCGGCAGAAAACUCGAACCUUCUUGUCGUCGUUCCUCCUCCUACGGUCACCGAUCGGAAAAAUGAAGGCUAGAGG
Molecule: long non-coding RNA, 1032 nt
Filed under: Fragaria vesca (wild strawberry)
Lineage: Eukaryota; Viridiplantae; Streptophyta; Magnoliopsida; Rosales; Rosaceae
Description: long non-coding RNA (FVES_LNC002881)
Source: RNAcentral